CAAGAUGGCAGAGAGUAUAAUACAUCUCACCCUAGAGAUCCUCUUCCAUCUUACUGGAGAGGACUACACAGUAGUGAAGAAGACCUCUAGUGAGCGCUGUCAGGCCCUUGUGUCGGAAGGAUGGGGAAGAAGCCUGAGCCCAAUCAUGGGGCCUCCGUCUCACCCCCUGAUACAUGAGGAAAGCAAUAGAGAGAAGAUCCUAGAACUUGCCAACAAGAUGAUUGAGCUGCUAACUGGAGAGGUUCCUAUAAGGUGUCAGGAUGUCGCCGUCUAUUUCUCCAUGGAGGAGUG
Bufo gargarizans (Asiatic toad) is the source of this 291-nucleotide long non-coding RNA. RefSeq lists it as uncharacterized. The record is from RefSeq and is a predicted model, not a curated record. Lineage: Eukaryota; Metazoa; Chordata; Amphibia; Anura; Bufonidae. The transcript is spliced from 3 exons.